Molecule: long non-coding RNA, 5145 nt
Organism: Acanthochromis polyacanthus (spiny chromis)
Lineage: Eukaryota; Metazoa; Chordata; Actinopteri; Pomacentridae
Exons: 2
Source: RefSeq, a predicted model, not a curated record
UUCCAAAAAAUCCUAUAAAUAUCUAAAGUGAUUACAUAUAUAUAUAUAUAUAUAUAUAUAUAUAUAUAUCAGUAAAACUUCUCAGAUUUUCUUAAGAAAAUUCACAAAAACAUCAACCAAAAUCCAAGGAAAUUCGCUGGAUUUUAGUUGAUUUUUUUGCGAAUGUUCUUCAGAAACAUUUUAAUUUUUCUACCAAAAUAUCUUCAAAGUUUUCCUAAAAAUGUGGACAUCAGCAGUUUCACAGUUAAAAUCAGUUUUUUUCCCACAUUUUCAAACUUUAAAAAUUUGAGCCGCAGGACGACACGAGGGUCAAACUGAAUAACUGACGGCAAUUAAUUGUUGGUUCCAGUUUUUAAAAGCAGAAUAAGUGGAGCUACUUUUACUAUUUGUGGGGACAAUUUACUAAUUAGCCGAUAAUUUAUCAAACCUGCCAGACUUUGUGUGUCAGACUCAGAUUUCAGGAUCGAGGAACAAACGAAGCCCGGUUGAGUUGGAGUUUCACCUCCUGCUGGAUUCCAGGUGGAGGUCAGGUGUGUUCUUCUGGGACGUUCUUCAGGCACCUUAAAGGAUUCCUCCACGCAACGCUCCUUUAUACCAACGCAUGUGGAGACUCUUCUCUUAUAUCGGCAUGCACAAGACGUUACCUCAUUUGGAUUUUUUUUUGCAUUUUUUCUUCUUCGUCGUCCUUCAUCUCCUCAUCGGUUUUCACCAAAGUGCACUGGCUGUUUGUUCCGUUAAGUGUUGAAUGUUUAAGGGAACAGGAACUCCACCUUUACGAAGAUCAUGGCAUGUCCAAAUACUAAAGCAUUAAGGCCUAAUAAUUAGCUCCGUGGCUUAGCUACGUAUACUCAAUGCAUGACAGUGUCAGUAUUAAUGCCUGCAGUCGUGGAGGGACUCUGGAGGACGAAGGUGAGGAUGACGAUGAUCCUCAUUACUGUCGACGGGAUGCAUGACGGAGCCGGAGGGGACAAAUCUGCUAGAAUAAAACACACAAAAAAAACGGAAUCAAGGAAAAAAAAACCCUGAAGAGACGAUUUGAGGAUCUCCUUUAAAAAAAGACUUUCUCUGUUAAAGCUGUGAUCUGUGAUGAUGGAGUGCAUGGGUCAUCUCUGUGUUUUCAUUUCAACCUUUAAUCUGUUCGAGAAGGAAGGCAGGAGUGUUUAUCAGACUUCACAGGUGUAUCUAAAGCUAGCUUCCAGUGCCUUGAACCCCGUCUGACGAUAGAAUCGACUAAAGUGCCUCAGAUGCGACAGAGAGCUGAACUUCUGGAACUGAACAGAAUUUAUUCAGUAGUUUUUUUAAACCGGUUCUGGGUGGAGACACACAGCGGCAGAACAGACAGAAAACGCCAAAUAUAGGUCGUCUGUUGUCUGAUAUCUGCAGGUUCUUCAGUUUUCUGGUGUUCCUCCUCAAUGUUCUCGCCAAAUAUUGUUUGGAAAUUAGAGAAAUGUAGUUUCACGCUGCAGAAACUGAAUCUUUCAUGAGAAUGGAGCUGAAAUGAAGCAGCAGAAGUAGAUCUGAACUGAGCUGCUUCUGGUUCUAAUGAGGGUUCAGCUGUUGGUCCAUCUUAGAUUAACUACAUGUUCAGUAUAUUAGCUCUGGAUUAGCCAAAGAAGCUAACUGAUAGAAAUGCCCAAAGCACUGCUGUGUGUUAGCAGCUGUGGCUAACGAUACAGAAAACAUCCUGUUGGAUUAGCUGUGGAAGCUAACUAGCUAACCAGGCUACCCGAGUCUACACAGAACAAAAUAUGCAAAUUAUUCAGCAGAUUAGCAGCUUUAGCUUCCUAGUUAAAAAGCAUGUAGUCCAAACUAAACCAGACUCAGAAAGAAGCUCCUUGGAUUAACUUUGGAGUCGGUAGUAGCCAGUUAGCGGUGUGGCUAACGCCACCACGAUCUUCUAAUUGGUAGGCUAAUGGAGUUAGCUUCAGACAGGACGCAGCUACACGAAAAAAAUACCAGUUUUCCUUUAAUCCUCCUGCUGUCUUCAUUUACCGGCACCAAAGAAUAUUGUUUCCUUGUCUGAAAAAAAUCCAAAAAUUCAGCAAAAAAACUCGCCAAAUGUCAAAAAAUUUGCAAAAAUCUUCCAAAAAAAAUCCUAAAGAAAUCUAAAGUGAUUACAUAUAUAUCACAACAACUUUUAAUAUUAUCUUUAAGAACAUUUUUAUAAGUUUUUUCCACCAAAUAUGUUGAAAAUGGGGCUAUCAAAAGUUUCACUGUAAAAAUAUAUUUUUUUCCACAUUUUCAAACUUUAAAUUUGCAAAACUUUCAGGAAGAAAAUUCCUAAAAGUCAUUUGAAAUUUCCCUUAGAAAUUUUAUUUAAAAAUCCCCCAAACUUGGUAAGAACAUUCUUGUAAAUUACUUUUAAAAAAUGAGUGAAAAUCUUCCAAAAAAUCCAGAAAAAUAUCUGAAGUGUUUACAUAUAUAUCAGAAAAACUUAUAAUUUCUUUUUUUUUUUUUUAAAGAUUUUUACUCAUUUUUUGAAAAUAUUUACACAAUUUUCUUGUCAAAUUUAGGGAUUUUUUUUUUUAGAACUUGUAAGGGAAACUUUUAAGGAAUUAUUGGAAUUUUCUUCUUGAAGGUUUUGCAAAUUUUCAGAAAUUUGGGGAAUUUUUUUUGCUGAUUUGUUGAAUUUGUUUUAGACAAAACCAGUAUUUUUUGGUGCCUGUAAAUGAGGACAGCAGGAGGGCUAAAAGCAGUAAAAAUGGAGAAAAUGAGCCUUUAAUUGAGUGUCACAGGAGGAGAUGCAGCUCUGUGCUGAGGCUGGCUGGAUGUUUGUGCAGAGAUGAUGGAUCUGACCUCAGCGUUUCUCUGCAGAACAUCACCACAGGCAUUAGUCACUCUGCAGCCAGAAAAUGGCUGCUGUGUGCUCCUCACUGCAGCUCCAGAGUUCAGGAACAAACGCUCCGUCCUCCCAUCAGCCACUUAGUUUACUGGUUUAUUUAGUGUUUAACCAGUUAGUUUACUGGUUUAUUUAGUGUUUAACCAGUUAGUUUACUGGUUUAUUUCGUAUUCCUGGACACUGACAGACAUUUAUCUUGUGUGAAGCUUUAAAUGAAGGAUUUUCUGCAGUUUUUCGAGCUAAAUGUCUGGAGCUGAUGGAAUACUUUAGUUUUCCAUCAUAAACCUAAAUGAGGUUUACGUUCUUGGUGAUCUGUUAAAAACAUUCAGAGUCAGAUGUUGAUGGUUCAGAUUCUCUUGGUUUAAUCCGGAAUCAGAAUCCAGCUCUGAGUUUCCUCCAGUUCUGGUGGUAAAAUGGAAUUCUAGAAACCUUUUUGGAUCGGUAACGCUCUAAUUAUCCCGCUAAGUUCAGCCAAAGCGUCGGUUUUAUUUGUGAAACGUUCUCCAUCAUAUGAUAGACAGGAAAACAAACUUUUCUGUUUCCACGAGUCGCUGGUAAAAGUUCAAUUUCUCCUUCAUGAUUCCACAUUUCAGCGUCGGUUUUAGCUUCAUCUUCUUGAUCUACUGAGCCGUGUGUCACCAACCACAACCUGUUUCCUGAGCUGCUGCUGAAAUCAAAAAUCCCUUUAAUGAACGUUUCAGAGCUAAAUAAAUCAGAGGCCGUGAAGGAGCAAAAUUUACAAUUCCACAUUUUUUAGAGGUAAAACCACAAAGAAGAAGAGGUAAUAGUGGAGAUGGUGGGGAACAUCUUCAGCUCGUUGUGCUUUCAGGUUCUGUUUGUUGGUUUUUAAGGGACCAAACCAGCUUCUACUUCAUCAGAUCUUCAGCUCAAACGAUCAGAGAACCACAGGACAGAAGAAACCCAGUUAGGUUCUAAAACUGCCGUCAAUCAGAGUCCGUUUACAAGCUUCCUACUGCCCGUCCAAACCGACCAAUCAGCGAGGUUAUCGGUGAUCGAUCGGCUUUGAGCUGCAGAUCAAACGUUUAAAUCGGUUUUUAUUUCAGCUUCUCUCAGAAAAACUCCUCAAAACAUUGUUAUUGUUCUACAGAGUUCCUCAGCCUGGUUCUGAUCCACUGAAAGAUCAAACAGCCUCUUAGAGAACCUGAGGAGCAUUAAUGGAAGAACCUGAGGAGCUUAAACCUCUAUCCAUCUGCAGCAGCUUCAUCCAACAAUCAGAAGCCAACAGGACUUUAAUCAGAUCUUUAACGACUGUUCCAGGUCCUUCCAUCAGGCUGCUGGUUCUAACAAACAGUUUAAUAACAGAACGAUUGAUUAUUAGAUUAUUUAAAACAUUAGAACUCUGGUUCUGAUCUUUAAAAUCAACAAAUUCAGCUUACAGAGAAAUGGAAGGAACCGGCUGAGGAACCACCACAGAGAUGAAGAUGAUGAUGAUGAUGAAGGUUAUGAUGAUGAAGAUAAUGAAGGUUAUGAUGAUGAUGAUGAAGGUUAUGAUGAUGAUGAUGAUGAUGAAGGUAAUGAAGGUUAUGAUGAUGAUGAUGGUGAUGAUGAUGAAGGUUAGGAUGAUGAUGAUGAAGAUGAUGAUGAUGGUUAUGAUGAUGAAGAUAAUGAUGGUUAUGAUGAUGAUGAUGGUUAUGAUGAUGAAGAUGAUGAAGAGUUUAGAGAUAUUUCUGGAUCUCCUGAACCAGAUGAACUUCAUGAUUCCAACCUGAACUUAAAGCUGCUGAUAAAUAUUUUGGAUUCGUACGAACACAGACAAUGUUCUAAAAAGGUUUUUUUCCAGUCAGACGGACCUCGUUUAGCUUUAUUUCUGUUUUAAAAGUGUUUUUUUUUCCAGUCAGACGGACCUCGUUUAGCUUUAUUUCUGUUUUAAAAGUGUUUUUUUUUCCAGUCAGACGGACCUCGUUUAGCUUUAUUUCUGUUUUAAAAGUGUUUUUUUUUCCAGUCAGACGGACCUCGUUUAGCUUUAUUUCUGUUUUAAAAGUGUUUUUUUUUCCAGUCAGACGGACCUCGUUUAGCUUUAUUUCUGUUUUAAAAGUGUUUUUUUUUCCAGUCAGACGGACCUCAUUUAGCUUUCUUUGUGUGUUUUCUCAGUCAGAAGCCAAAGUGUGAGGAAUGAGAUCAGACCCGUUUCCCUCCUGGAUUCAUUCCCAUCCCAGCGUUUCGUUGGUUUUCUGGUUUUUCUGCUGCAGGAUCCAGUGUUUGUCGUGUUGCUGAGGGUCGAGGGUUAAAUCAUGUCCAUCUCAUCAUAUUACAGCAGUUUAAUAAAUUUUGAAAGAUGAAACUUU